GUUAUUUUAUGUUUAUUAUUGCCAUUUGCGUAGUUUCUUCUGUUACCUAUUUCUACAUUUGACUCUGGCUUCUUUUAAAUCGAGUUUUCUCUUGUUUAAUGCAUUGUGGUUGUUUAUUCCUCAUUUGCUAAAGGAAUAGGGGCCGGUUGAGAUAUCAAAAGUCAUGAGUAUACAUCCAUCGCCUGUCUCAAAGCAGAAACCUUUAUCCUUUGGUAAUCUCAUGUGCUUUUUUUCAAUUUAAGUUCAAAAGUGCAUUUUAGUGUUUAGUGUAGCAACCAUUUCUCUGAACUAUUAUUCAUUAUUGUUUAGUGACCAAAAGAGGCCCGCCUCUAUGUGCGGAAUUUUCUUUCUGCAUAGAGGACUCAUCAUUUUGAACUCAUCAGGGUUCCUGUACUCAACCGACUUGUUGGGUACUGAGACAUGACUGUGACACCAUCUGAACAAAAACUGUGAAUAAAAUCAGAAGCAAUUUUAAAACAACACAUGGUGUUGGGGCUAAGAAUACCACCAGCUUUUCAUUGAAAGUAAUGACAAGACAGAAACAUGCGUCCAACGGGUAUAUCCAAUACACUACAAUUACUUAAACAACUUUGAAAAUCGUACAUAAGUGUUUUUU
RNAcentral lists this long non-coding RNA (616 nucleotides) under Mytilus galloprovincialis (Mediterranean mussel). Lineage: Eukaryota; Metazoa; Mollusca; Bivalvia; Mytilida; Mytilidae. The record is from RNAcentral.